AGCGGGGGAUAACACCUGGAAACAGAUGCUAAUACCGCAUAACAACUUGGACCGCAUGGUCCGAGUUUGAAAGAUGGCUUCGGCUAUCACUUUUGGAUGGUCCCGCGGCGUAUUAGCUAGAUGGUGGGGUAACGGCUCACCAUGGCAAUGAUACGUAGCCGACCUGAGAGGGUAAUCGGCCACAUUGGGACUGAGACACGGCCCAAACUCCUACGGGAGGCAGCAGUAGGGAAUCUUCCACAAUGGACGAAAGUCUGAUGGAGCAACGCCGCGUGAGUGAAGAAGGGUUUCGGCUCGUAAAACUCUGUUGUUAAAGAAGAACAUAUCUGAGAGUAACUGUUCAGGUAUUGACGGUAUUUAACCAGAAAGCCACGGCUAACUACGUGCCAGCAGCCGCGGUAAUACGUAGGUGGCAAGCGUUGUCCGGAUUUAUUGGGCGUAAAGCGAGCGCAGGCGGUUUUUUAAGUCUGAUGUGAAAGCCUUCGGCUCAACCGAAGAAGUGCAUCGGAAACUGGGAAACUUGAGUGCAGAAGAGGACAGUGGAACUCCAUGUGUAGCGGUGAAAUGCGUAGAUAUAUGGAAGAACACCAGUGGCGAAGGCGGCUGUCUGGUCUGUAACUGACGCUGAGGCUCGAAAGUAUGGGUAGCAAACAGGAUUAGAUACCCUGGUAGUCCAUACCGUAAACGAUGAAUGCUAAGUGUUGGAGGGUUUCCGCCCUUCAGUGCUGCAGCUAACGCAUUA
RNAcentral lists this ribosomal RNA (742 nucleotides) under Lactiplantibacillus plantarum. Its description in RNAcentral is "bacterial SSU rRNA". It matches the Rfam family "Bacterial small subunit ribosomal RNA", at positions 135 to 862 of the family's 1533-position model. The record is from RNAcentral. Lineage: Bacteria; Bacillati; Bacillota; Bacilli; Lactobacillales; Lactobacillaceae.